RNAcentral lists this ribosomal RNA (229 nucleotides) under uncultured bacterium. Its description in RNAcentral is "partial 16S ribosomal RNA". It matches the Rfam family "Bacterial small subunit ribosomal RNA", at positions 568 to 796 of the family's 1533-position model. The record is from RNAcentral.
UGCGCAGGCGGGCUUGUAAGUCAGUGGUGAAAUACUGCCGCUUAACGGUAGAACUGCCAUUGAUACUGCAAGUCUUGAAUAUGGUUGAGGUAGGCGGAAUGUGUUGUGUAGCGGUGAAAUGCAUAGAUGUGACACAGAACGCCAAUUGCGAAGGCAGCUUACUAAGCCAUUAUUGACGCUGAGGCACGAAAGCGUGGGGAGCGAACAGGAUUAGAUACCCUGGUAGUCC